CCAGAGAACUUAGCAGAGAUGCUUUGUGCCUUCGGGAACUCUGAGACAGGUGCUGCAUGGCUGUCGUCAGCUCGUGUUGUGAAAUGUUGGGUUAAGUCCCGCAACGAGCGCAACCCUUAUCCUUUGUUGCCAGCGGCUCGGCCGGGAACUCAAAGGAGACUGCCGGUGAUAAACCGGAGGAAGGUGGGGAUGACGUCAAGUCAUCAUGGCCCUUACGGCCAGGGCUACACACGUGCUACAAUGGCGCAUACAAAGAGAAGCGACCUCGCGAGAGCAAGCGGACCUCAUAAAGUGCGUCGUAGUCCGGAUUGGAGUCUGCAACUCGACUCCAUGAAGUCGGAAUCGCUAGUAAUCGUAGAUCAGAAUGCUACGGUGAAUACGUUCCCGGGCCUUGUACACACCGCCCGUCACACCAUGGGAGUGGGUUGCAAAAGAAGUAGGUAGCUUAACCUUCGGGAGGGCGCUUACCACUUUGUGAUUCAUGACUGGGGUGAAGUCGUAACAAGGUAGGCGUAGCGAG
This 520-nucleotide ribosomal RNA is filed under the name uncultured bacterium. RNAcentral describes it as "bacterial SSU rRNA". It matches the Rfam family "Bacterial small subunit ribosomal RNA", at positions 988 to 1509 of the family's 1533-position model. The record is from RNAcentral.